UGGCCGCACAUGCGGCGGAAUUCACAAUGGUUUGUUACUUCCGUGGAAACGGAUCUCGAUGGGAUGCUGCUUGCAUCGUGCACGGCGACCAGCUACGAGGUUUACAUGGGCUCGUACACGAACGAAAUGAAAAUUGAACGUCGCUGCCCAGCCCUGUGGAUGAAUGGAUCACAUAGAGGGCAUGAUCACGUAAACCCAAGUGGAACGUUGCUAGACUCUACUCGAUCGACUUGCCCGGCUCCGGUUGAUCGCGCGCGCAACGCACGACGCAGGAAGCUAGUUGUUUU
Molecule: long non-coding RNA, 287 nt
Filed under: Setaria italica (foxtail millet)
Lineage: Eukaryota; Viridiplantae; Streptophyta; Magnoliopsida; Poales; Poaceae
Description: long non-coding RNA (SITA_LNC004777)
Source: RNAcentral